CCUACGGGAGGCAGCAGUGAGGAAUAUUGGUCAAUGGCCGUAAGGCUGAACCAGCCAAGUCGCGUGAAGGAAGAAGGAUCUAUGGUUUGUAAACUUCUUUUAUAGGGGAAUAAAGGUAUCCACGUGUGGAUAUUUGCAUGUACCCUAUGAAUAAGCAUCGGCUAACUCCGUGCCAGCAGCCGCGGUAAUACGGAGGAGGCAAGCGUUAUCCGGAUUUAUUGGGUGUAAAGGGCGGGUAGGCGGGAAAGCAAGUCAGUUGUGAAAACUUGGGGCUCAACCCUGAGCCUGCAUUUGAAACUGGUUGUCUUGAGUACUGGAGAGGCAGUCGGAAUUCGGUGUGUAGCGGUGAAAUGCGUAGAUAUACGGAGGAACACCAGUGGCGAAGGCAGAUUACUGGACAGUAACUGACACUGAGGCUCGAAAGUGUGGGGAGCAAACAGGAUUAGAUACCCCUGUAGUC
This 460-nucleotide ribosomal RNA is filed under the name uncultured bacterium. RNAcentral describes it as "partial 16S ribosomal RNA". It matches the Rfam family "Bacterial small subunit ribosomal RNA", at positions 338 to 795 of the family's 1533-position model. The record is from RNAcentral.